UAGAGUUUGAUCCUGGCUCAGAAUGAACGCUGGCGGCGUGCCUAACACAUGCAAGUCGGAUGUGCCGCAAGGUGCAUGGCAGACGGGUGAGUAACGCGUAGGGAAUCUACCUUUUUGUGGGGAAUAACGCUCCGAAAGGAGUGGUAAUACCGCAUGAGACCACGAGCUGGGAUGCUUGUGGUGAAACCUGGGGACCGCAAGGCCUGGGGCAAGAAGAGGAUCCUGCGUCUGAUUAGCUAGUUGGCGGGGUAAUGGCCCACCAAGGCGACGAUCAGUAGCCGGCCUGAGAGGGUGAUCGGCCACACUGGAACUGAGACACGGUCCAGACUCCUACGGGAGGCAGCAGUGGGGAAUUUUGCGCAAUGGACGAGAGUCUGACGCAGCAACGCCGCGUGGGUGAUGAAGGUCUUCGGACUGUAAAACCCUGUCGUCAGGGACGAAGGUAUGGGAGUUAAUAGCUCUUAUGCUUGACGGUACCUGGAGAGGAAGCCCCGGCUAACUCUGUGCCAGCAGCCGCGGUAAUACAGAGGGGGCAAGCGUUAUUCGGAAUUAUUGGGCGUAAAGGGCGCGUAGGCGGUUUUUUAAGUCAGAUGUGUAAUCCCCGAGCUCAACUUGGGAACUGCAUCUGAGACUGGAAGGCUAGAGUACUGGAGAGGGUGGUGGAAUUCCUCGUGUAGCGGUGAAAUGCGUAGAGAUGAGGAGGAACACCAGUGGCGAAGGCGGCCACCUGGACAGUAACUGACGCUGAGGCGCGAAAGUGUGGGUAGCAAACAGGAUUAGAUACCCUGGUAGUCCACGCUGUAAACGAUGAACACUUGGUGUGGAGGGAGUUGACCCCUUCCGUGCCGGAGCUAACGCGUUAAGUGUU
Molecule: ribosomal RNA, 868 nt
Filed under: uncultured bacterium
Lineage: Bacteria
Description: bacterial SSU rRNA
Rfam family: Bacterial small subunit ribosomal RNA
Source: RNAcentral